AGGCCCAUAGUGUAAUGGUAGCAUACCGGUCUCCAAAACCGUUGGUGAGGGUUCAAAUCCUUCUGGGCCUGCCA
Molecule: transfer RNA, 74 nt
Filed under: Candidatus Peregrinibacteria bacterium
Lineage: Bacteria; Candidatus Peregrinibacteriota
Also listed under: 1 other name
Description: tRNA-Trp
Rfam family: tRNA
About the family: Transfer RNA (tRNA) molecules are approximately 80 nucleotides in length.
Source: RNAcentral